Molecule: non-coding RNA, 23 nt
Filed under: Arabidopsis thaliana (thale cress)
Lineage: Eukaryota; Viridiplantae; Streptophyta; Magnoliopsida; Brassicales; Brassicaceae
Source: RNAcentral
GAAAGCGUAUCGGGCGGAGCGGA